This 327-nucleotide unclassified non-coding RNA is filed under the name Hevea brasiliensis (rubber tree). Lineage: Eukaryota; Viridiplantae; Streptophyta; Magnoliopsida; Malpighiales; Euphorbiaceae. The record is from RNAcentral.
AAAAUGAGAGUGAAAUCUCCAACUGAUUUUGCAUGGAAAAUGUGUUUGUAUUUAUGUUGUUACAUGUACACAUCAGUAUAUUCUAUCCAGCUACUAGGAAGGAAGAAUAUUGCCAGCGAAAUGGUGCUGCGCACCGUUUCUUCGCUUGCGCACGGUUUCCCUAAAAUAUUCUAUGCGCACCGUGCUACCAGAGCGUCAAAAAUUAGCUGUUGAAUUAUCUCAGAUCUGAAACAAGCAAAUCUAAAAUCGAUGUUCCGGUUUGCAGCUGCUUGUAUAGCAGCUUGUGGACAAGUUGACAUGUAAGUUUUCUACCAGAAGAGAUGAGAG